GAUGAACGCUAGCUACAGGCUUAACACAUGCAAGUCGAGGGGAAACGAUGAGAGAGCUUGCUCUCUUAGUCGUCGACCGGCGCACGGGUGAGUAACGCGUAUCCAACCUGCCUCUGACCAAGGGAUAACCCGUCGAAAGUCGGACUAAUACCUUAUGCAGUCGUCGGAAGUCAUCUGAUGACGACGAAAGAUUUCAUCGGUGAGAGAUGGGGAUGCGUCUGAUUAGCUUGUUGGCGGGGUAACGGCCCACCAAGGCGACGAUCAGUAGGGGUUCUGAGAGGAAGGUCCCCCACAUUGGAACUGAGACACGGUCCAAACUCCUACGGGAGGCAGCAGUGAGGAAUAUUGGUCAAUGGGCGUAAGCCUGAACCAGCCAAGUAGCGUGCAGGAUGACGGCCCUAUGGGUUGUAAACUGCUUUUAUGCGGGGAUAAAGUGAGGGACGUGUCCUUCAUUGCAGGUACCGCAUGAAUAAGGACCGGCUAAUCCCGUG
This 491-nucleotide ribosomal RNA is filed under the name uncultured bacterium. RNAcentral describes it as "partial 16S ribosomal RNA". It matches the Rfam family "Bacterial small subunit ribosomal RNA", at positions 28 to 507 of the family's 1533-position model. The record is from RNAcentral.